Molecule: RNA transcript, 850 nt
Organism: Homo sapiens (human)
Lineage: Eukaryota; Metazoa; Chordata; Mammalia; Primates; Hominidae
Gene: PLAC9
Gene name: placenta associated 9
Exons: 4
Source: RefSeq, marked validated
AGAUUCUCGGGCUCAGAACCAGAAUUUCUCCGUCUGAGGCUACUAUCUUGCUCUGGAGGAGGGAGUGAGAACUGGAUCACUGGUUAGCGUGGUAACUGUUUUGGACAAUUGCAUAGCCACAGCCAGGAACACAGAAGGCAGAGAGGCAGCCUUGAUCUGCAAGAGCUCCAGCUGCCGAACCCUUCAGCCCUCCGCGAGGAGACUCAGCUCAGAGCACAGCGUGUGACAGACACAUGGCUGUGCAACGCCGUCUAGAUGUCAUGGAGGAGAUGGUAGAGAAGACCGUGGAUCACCUGGGGACAGAGGUGAAAGGCCUGCUGGGCCUGCUGGAGGAGCUGGCCUGGAACCUGCCCCCGGGACCCUUCAGCCCCGCUCCCGACCUUCUCGGAGAUGGCUUCUGAGCCCUGGAGCUGGAGCCCAGCAGUUGGAGGUGGUGCACCUGCCAGGCAGCGCCCACAGAACCAGCCCUGUCCUCUCGACUUCCUUCCUUAGCUUCAUGUGAAAUAAAAGCUAUUCUGGUCUCCUCUGUGUCUGCUGACAGAGUAACCCGUUUAACUACAGCCUCCUCUCACUCCACUUCCAUGCCUGGAGGAAGCCUGCAACCCCCUCCAGGCUCAGACCUGGGGACACCCCCACUCCUGUCAUUUAUAGGGGCAGAUGGAGCAGGGGUUGAUUCACACAGAUGGGGGCCCUUUGAGUGGCCUUGCUUCUCAAAAUGUGGCCAUAGGUGAAAAGCAAGGGGAUCAGGGUCUCAGGACCCACCCAGACUGUUUAAUCCAAAUCUGCAUUGCAAUGAGACCCCCAGGGAUUUUAUGUGUCCAUUAAAGUGGUUUGUUGUUGUUUUUAAAAA